GACAGAGGGUGCAAACGUUGUUCGGAAUUACUGGGCGUAAAGCGCGUGUAGGCGGCAGCGUGUGUCGGGCGUGAAAUCCCAUGGCUCAACCAUGGAAGUGCACCCGAAACUGCGCAGCUAGAGUCCUGGAGAGGAAGGUGGAAUACUUGGUGUAGAGGUGAAAUUCGUAGAUAUCGGGAGGAACACCAGUGGCGAAGGCGGCGACCUGGGCCAAUAUUGACGCUGAGGUGCGAAAGCGUGGGGAGCAAACAGG
Molecule: ribosomal RNA, 253 nt
Filed under: uncultured bacterium
Lineage: Bacteria
Description: partial 16S ribosomal RNA
Rfam family: Bacterial small subunit ribosomal RNA
Source: RNAcentral